Molecule: ribosomal RNA, 440 nt
Filed under: uncultured bacterium
Lineage: Bacteria
Description: partial 16S ribosomal RNA
Rfam family: Bacterial small subunit ribosomal RNA
Source: RNAcentral
CCUACGGGAGGCAGCAGUGGAGAAUAUUUCACAAUGGGGGGAACCCUGAUGCAGCGACGCCGCGUGAGUGAAGGAGGAUUUCGGUAUGUAAAGCUCUAUCAGCAGGGGAGAAAAUGACGGUACCUGACUAAGAAGCCCAGGCUAACUACGUGCCAGCAGCCGCGGUAAUACGUAGGGGGCAAGCGUUAUCCGGAUUUACUGGGUGUAAAGGGAGCGUAGACGGUUAUGCAAGUCUGAAGUGAAAGCCAAAGGCUCAACCAGGGGACUGCUUUGGAAACUGUAAAACUGGAGUGAAGGAGAGGUAAGCGGAAUUCCUGGUGUAGCGGUGAAAUGCGUAGAUAUUGGGAGGAACACCAGUGGCGAAGGCGGGUUACUGGACUGUAACUGACGUUGAGGCUCGAAGGCGUGGGGAGCAAACAGGAUUAGAUACCCGUGUAGUC